CUGCUAUGAUGAAGUUAAGAACUUAUUGAAAGCUAUUGAUGCUUGGUGAAACAUCGACAGUACUGUUGAUCCUGAGCGGUUAACUGAGCAG
This is a small nucleolar RNA of Ipomoea nil (Japanese morning glory), 91 nucleotides long. It matches the Rfam family "small nucleolar RNA snoR128". The record is from Rfam. Lineage: Eukaryota; Viridiplantae; Streptophyta; Magnoliopsida; Solanales; Convolvulaceae.